Molecule: long non-coding RNA, 2481 nt
Organism: Amblyraja radiata (thorny skate)
Lineage: Eukaryota; Metazoa; Chordata; Chondrichthyes; Rajiformes; Rajidae
Exons: 2
Source: RefSeq, a predicted model, not a curated record
CCUUUUCAAUAACCAUUAGUGAGAAUGUCCAUGAAGCUAAAAUGCACGUGAGAUUGACAUGAAAAAGGCCAAUAUAUUAACAAUAUACAUAGACGUAGGUGAACAUUUCAGAAACUUACUUUAGUGCAAAAAAAAAUCUUUCAUCAAUUCUGUUAUAGCAACAAAUGUAGACUGUGUGAUUAGAUUCUUGAAGAUGUAAAAAAAAAAAAUAGAAGCUUAUUAAGAAUUAAAAUACUGUGACCAGAUCCCCAUUUCCACACAAAGGUAAGUUACUGAAAUUUUCCCAUUUGUACAAUAUGUAUAUAUUAUUAAUAUAUUGGCCUUUUACAUUUCAAUUUAACAUACAUUUUAGCUUCAUGUACAUUUAAACUUCUCACGGAUGGUUAUCACAAAGGUGAUGGGCGGUCAUUGCAAAUUGGCAGGGGCGAUCUAUCUUAAAGGUUUUCUUCUCUUACAAAAACACAUUUGAUCAAGGUACUUUACCUCAGUGAUUGGAUUGCUGUCUCAAUGCUGCUUGUGUGCUGAAGUACUUCGUUCUCCUUAUGUGAAAGGUUGUUCCACAUUUAUUUUUCCCUCAAAUGUGCCAAUAUACCCACCUGUAGGAAAUAUUUUAGAGAUAAACAAGCUGAAUGAUGAUUUCUCUCCGACAUAUUGCACCAUUGUAAAAAUUCGCAAUUCCCCCUAUCCAUUAGAAGACCAUUAGCAAGGCAUAAUGUUGAUGACAAUGCUACUGAUGGCCGAUUAACUUGGAAGUAUCCCUGCAGAGAAUAAAGUUGUUUCAUUUUAAUUCUUCAAUCUCAGCCGUAGAGAUAUUCAGUGUAAGAUUGUGGUUUUAAGGCUGUUGGAAGUAGAAUAAAAAUAAAAUGUCCCCUUGCUAUUAAGAUAAUACAUUCUAGAUUGUAAGACAAAAUCUGUAGGCGCGCUCAUUGCUUGCUUUCUCCCAGCUUGUAAAACAAGGCUAUUUGCUAUACCAGUCAUUGCAAUUCUUUUCCUAUCAAGUAUUCAGUAAAGUAUUUACAAUAUAUCCUGGCAUUCCCACUCUUCUGGUGGAAUUAAUAUUAAGAAAAAAUGUAUAACGUUCAAUCUUGCAACUUCUUUAUUGGUCAAAGCCCAUUAAGUAUUCUUGCAACUGAACAAAUCAUUUUAACCAAAGCAUAUUCUCUUGUAUUUCUGCUUUGAACAGAUUAAUCUAAUCUUAAUGCCCUUUUCUAGAGACUAAAUAAUAAUUAGAACACAUAAAUAUAUAAUUAGAACACAUAAAUAUAUUGAUAGACAUACGGACAGGAAGAGUCUGAAGAAGGGGCUUGACCUGAAACGUCACCCAUUCCUUCUCUCCAGAGAUGCUGCCUGUCCCGCUGAGGUACUCCAGCAUUUUAUGUCUAUCUUUGGAAGAAACAUUCACUCUAUUCAGUUGAUCCUAAUAAUCACACUGGUGACUCUGAAGCUGAAUUGCUAAGUAUUGUUGACAGUUCUGAUGACAUAACCUUCUUGAGUGCUGCACCACAUUAAAAAUACAUCCACAACUUGGAGGAGGAGAGGGGUGGUAGUGAGGGGAUGUUUAAGAAUUGUACUCUUAAUUUAACUCUUCUGACUACACUAUUUUACCACUAGAUUUAUGGAGAAGGGUCUUGUCCCGAAACGUUACCUUUUCCUUCGCUCCAUAGAUGCUGCCUCACCCGCUGAGUUUCUCCAGCAUUUUUAUCUACUAGAUUUAUGGAGGGGUUUUGUAACUCAAAAUGUGUAUUUUCUCAAACUCCUUCAUAAUUAUUGGCGAAUCCAAUUGUUAAUGUGGAUAAACUAUGUCAUUUUAUGUAUUUAGAAAAUUGGGAAUGAUGAGCAGGAAUGAAAAUCUCAUAGCAAAGCCUUAAUGAUCAGAACCAAAAUCACUGGCGUUAACCAAAGAAUUUAAAUAUUUUGUAUAAUAGUCCUGGCCCGCUCAGAACAAAAGUUGGAAAUUGAGCGUGUCGUUUGGAAAUUAGAGUUGUCUCAAAUAGUUUCACAGUGAAAGUGGAGUGGUAGGUUGUACACAUGGACACAAAAAUGCUGGAGUAACUCAGCGGGGCAGGCAGCAACUCUGGCGAGAAGGAAUGGGUGACGUUUCAGGGUUGAGACUACUUCAGACUUCAAAGAUGCUGCCUGUCCUGGAGUUACUCCAGCAUUUUGUGUCUAUCUUCAAUUUAAGCCAGCAUCUGCAGUUCUUUCCUGCACAUUUUGUGCACAUGGGCCAUGCAUUGUACCCGCUGAACUUAUGUUUCAAUUAUAACAAAUGCUACGAGCGUGCAACCUUUAGAUCUGACAAGAUGAAUGUUGAUUUUAGACAUCAAAGUUGAAACCGAAGCAUUCAGCAGCUCAUUCUUGCUAUUUUGUAUUAAGUAUCCAAAAUUAUUAUUUUUAUUAUUCUGAUUUCCUUUAUUUUGACAUUUUGUGAAUUGCUGUUUAUUGUAAGGUUCAUGAAACUAAACAUUAUCGGUUACAAAUGGC